GUUAUUAUUACUAUUGUUAUUUUAUUUAUUUAUAUUGUUGUUACAUGAGAAAAGUUGUUUUUAAGAUUUCGCAAAUAUUGUAAUUGUCGCGUGAAGCAUAGACGCAGCUGUUACGCCGUCGACGAAACGCAGCAGUUGCCGUCUUGGUAAGCCACCCGUUUCUCCGUUGCAACGUCAAUGUCAGAAUCGCGCACCAAAUGUGCCGCAAGCAAGACUCGUCAAUGGCACCUGUUUACAAAUGUUCCAAAUACCAUAAAACGAUGCAACUGUCACCAGCAAGAAGAUAAAACCGGUGUGGUAUAAAAAUUGACGGUUGAAGAGCUUUCGCGACCUACGAAAUGUUUCGAGUAAAAAAGAAUAUUCGACUUCAACGGACGUUCGGAAAUUUUACGUUCUUCGAUGCUACACGUCGCACAAAUAAAUUAGAACGGAUAAGAAAGAAGAGGACCCUAGUCCAGGUGGCUCGAGAAAAAUGGUUAAAGAAAAUGACUUUGCUAUUGAACCUGCGGUUUCAGGUUGAGAAAGAGAGAAGAUGCGCUUAGUGCGGAAGAGAAACCUAAAAGGUCCAUAUGUGUCCAGAUGUUCGCCAGAUGUAGAAAACUAAGACAAUGCAAAAAGAACUAACGCGAUUCUGAUGCAAUUCCCACCGUCUGUGACGGAGUGAGUGGUUUGGUUACAUCGAAACGUUCGAAUUAACGUCUUCGGGGAGGUAUAAAAUCUACAUCAAAGAGAUAUGAAGUUGCGCGACGUUACAACCCCGUCAACUGUCGCGCGCGUUGAUAAAAAAAAAAAAAAUGCUUUACGGCCGCAGAAAGGGCUUCAGCAGGAACUUCUCAAAUUUCCUCAGCUGGAGGCUUCAUAUCUUCGCAUUUAUCUUCAACCGCACAAUUAUAAUCGCACAAUUAUAUAGCUGAUGGAACAAUUUUAAUCUCGCAACUUAUCGCUUAUUGACUUACUUUUAUCUUCAAAAAAAAAUGUAAAAGAUUUUAUCUUCAGAAAAUAUUUAUCUAAAUGGCACAGCUGGAUAUAUUUUACAUACCUAUCAGUGAAAUAACAUCACCGGCGAUACGUAACGGACUUCAUCAAAGUCUGCCAUCAAGUUCUUGUAAGAAAAUUCUCUAAAACAAUGUCCGGAUAAACAACAUUUCCGUUCACCUUGGGAAGACGUCCGGCGAACAUAGAUUGGAUUAUUCAUUAAAAGAAAGUAUAUUAAUUUUGCGUGACAUUACGCGUGUGUGAAAUUGUGUGCGAAGUAGCAAAAAUUUA
Long non-coding RNA from Pseudomyrmex gracilis, 1266 nucleotides. RefSeq lists it as uncharacterized. The transcript has 5 exons. NCBI's taxonomy places the organism in Eukaryota, Metazoa, Arthropoda, Insecta, Hymenoptera, Formicidae. The record is from RefSeq and is a predicted model, not a curated record.